RNAcentral lists this transfer RNA (66 nucleotides) under Ptiliidae sp. BMNH 1274723. Its description in RNAcentral is "tRNA-Trp". The record is from RNAcentral. Lineage: Eukaryota; Metazoa; Arthropoda; Insecta; Coleoptera; Ptiliidae.
AAGGAUUUAAGUUAAUUAAAACUAACAGUCUUCAAAACUGUAAACAAAGAGCCUCUUUAAGCCUUG